RNAcentral lists this long non-coding RNA (1426 nucleotides) under Papio anubis (olive baboon). RNAcentral's name for it is "lncRNA (ENSPANG00000041784.1)". The record is from RNAcentral. Lineage: Eukaryota; Metazoa; Chordata; Mammalia; Primates; Cercopithecidae.
GGAAGGCUUUCUCUGUCUCAGUGGGGCAGCUUUCUAAAGCAAAGUGAAAUACUUGGCCACCUCUUCCCGAAGGUAACCCCAACUCCUCAAUGUGGUCAAGAACAGCUUGUGUAAGCUCAGUGGUCUACUGAGAUGAAAGUCCUUUGUAUUCCCACUGAAAAUUAAGUGUCCUUAUGUCAAUCCAGGGAAAAGCAGGCACCAAGACUAAAUGAAAGUCAUGAGGAUUUUAUUAAGAGAAAUAUUUGUGUGAAAGGAGGUCAGUAGGGAAUUGGAGAAGGUUGAAGAGCCACCUGCCAUGCAAAUCAGACCCCAAGUAAGGGAGAGGGGAGAGAAAAUUAGAUGAAAGUGUCUUAGACUGCUCUGCAUUCUAAGCCAGUAGGGAGUCAUUCAGCCAAUAUUGGGCAACAAACAAAUCCUUUGCUGCAGGAAUGGGUCUACCUUCACAUCCUACUUAUGGGUUUAGCAUGGCCUCAGCACAAAUGCGAUGAUGAUUUCAAAGUGAAACAUCUGAGGUGCCCAGUGAUUGCACUCUCUGUAGUAAGAGGUCCUUGAGACAUAUUUACGUGACCUCCACAAUCCAUGCCUUGGACUUGUCCAUGCAGGUGCAGGGAGCAACUCCUCCAUUGGGCUCUCUUCCUCCUGAUGGAACAGAUGAAGGAGGUUAGUGGGAUGAUUUACAGAUGCCCUGGCUGCUGUUGACCUUGGUGCCACAACUGGAUCGCAUGGGUCUGCACCAGCUCAUCAUUUCAGUCGCUUUCAUCUUCAAAGUGAAUCCUUAGUCACCUUUAAGUGGCUUCAGGUACUAACUUUGGGUGAACUUCUAAUAUGUAUAGAAGAAUGGUACAUUUUCCUUUUUUUAGGCUUCCAGUUCAUUGAGUCAGAGAUUUCAAGCUGUACCCAAAACCAAGAGACUCCAAGUGUCAAAUCGUCAAAUUAAAGAAUUUUCUUGAAGUUUCAGCCAAUUCUUCCCCCAAAAUGUAGGAGGACUGAAUAUUUCUGAGUUUGGAAUCUGGCUAGAAUCUUACCUGGGCACCUGAGUUGCAGGCUAUCUCCCUGCCACAACAGCUUCCUCAGUGGAAUUCUGGGCUGAAGAGAGAAUAAGAAAAUGAAUACCAAACUAUUAAUUUCAUUGAAAUUAAUUUCUGCAUUUCUGUUGAAAUGCAGAAGCUGAUCAUCCAUACUGAUGCUAUCAUCACUGACUACAUUAAAGUUUCUAGACAAAUUCAGUAAGCAUUUUGAUGCCAGCUAGGCAGUGAGAGACAUGUGCUGGGGAUGCCAAGCUGAAUGAGCAGAUGCCCCUGCCUGCUAAGAGCCCACGUGGAAGUCAGUGGUCCAAACAGUAAGAGUCUGAAACUGUUUUUAAAUAGGUCCUUUUCACUCUACAGGAAAUAGGAAUCUCUGAACAGGAAAAAUCUCUGCUAGACCA